AGAUGAGGAAACUGAGGACCAGAGAAAACAACUAGUUUUCCAGAGCUCUCACCAUUGACAUCUCCCUUCCAACUCUUGGCGCUUCUGCUAUCCAGAACCACAUCAGCUUCCUGAACAGACCAAUGUCCACCUGCACCUGGGCCUCUGCAUGUCUCUUUCCUCUGCCUCAAGAGUGGAUCCACACCUUCCUUCUUCUAAGUGUAAUUAAAGAGGCCCUUUGUGCCGCCUUCAGAUUUUUUUUUCUUGUCCCAACUUUUCCUGUGCUCUUGUCUCCGUGGAACUAUUCAUACAGGUCAGUAUCAUUUUCCUUCUAGAAAAUGAGUCCAUUGGAAAGCCUCCCGGUUAGCCAUAAAACUUGAGAUCCCAGGGAAAGAUGUGGUCUUUCUUGCUGGAGACUGACUCAGAGAUUAUUUUCAUGAAGCCAAGGAGUUUAAGCUCAGAGCCCCUCCCUUGUUUAAAUCCCCUCAAGGACCUGAGGGUAAGAACCCUAGUAUUGUGUCCUAGGGGCGAUAUAUUUUA
RNAcentral lists this long non-coding RNA (519 nucleotides) under Homo sapiens (human). Its description in RNAcentral is "HSALNT0301999". The record is from RNAcentral. Lineage: Eukaryota; Metazoa; Chordata; Mammalia; Primates; Hominidae.